This 1063-nucleotide small RNA is filed under the name Pan troglodytes (chimpanzee). RNAcentral's name for it is "processed transcript". The record is from RNAcentral. Lineage: Eukaryota; Metazoa; Chordata; Mammalia; Primates; Hominidae.
AAUUAAAGCAGAAGUUGGAAGCUCAUAUGUAAGUAAAACUGAUAUUUCUUUUCAAAUAUGAGAAGGGAGGGGUUGUAAAAGCCUCUAAAGUUAAUCUCCUUUUCGGAUUUUGUCUAGAAAAGCAAAUAUCCUGAUGCUAAUUGAUACACCUGCUGCAAAAGUGAAAAGCAUGCUAAAGAUUCAGCCUCCCUACUACCCCCAUCCCAAACUCCUACAUCUUUCCGUUGUUAAUAUCAUUUGGAAAGUUUAAAAAAACAGAUUAACUAUCACAACUAGAUUAUAUGGGAUGUUAAACCUAUAAAAUAUUUUACUUUCUUAGGAAGCAAGGGUGGCAAGGGAAACAAUUUAACCUUUUUGGCACCUGCCGUGUGCCUGACUGUUUACAUCCUCAUGACAACCCCUGCAGUCAGGCAGAUAGUAUUCCCAUUUCACAGAUGAGGAACCAAGGGUCAGAAAGCAACUUGCCCAAGGUCCACAAAUGUUAUAUGGCAGAGACCAGUCUCCAUGCUUUUUCUACCUCUUAGGGAAAAACUCACAGAGGUCCAUGAAGAAUUACAGAAGAAACAAGAACUCAUUGAAGAUCUUCAGCCAGAUAUAAAUCAAAAUGUACAAAAGAUCAAUGAACUUGAAGCUGCUCUUCAGAAGAAAGAUGAAGAUAUGAAAGCAAUGGAGGAAAGAUAUAAAAUGUACUUGGAGAAAGCCAGAAAUGUAAUAAAAACUUUGGAUCCCAAGUUAAAUCCAGCAUCAGCUGAAAUAAUGCUACUAAGAAAGCAGUUGGCAGAGAAAGAGAGAAGAAUUGAGAUUCUGGAGAGUGAAUGCAAAGUAGCAAAAUUCCGUGAUUAUGAAGAAAAACUCAUUGUUUCUGCCUGGUAUAAUAAGAGUCUAGCAUUCCAGAAACUGGGGAUGGAAUCUAGACUUGUGAGCGGUGGUGGUGCCUGCAGUGACACUGGUGCGUGCACUCCUGCGCGGUCUUUCUUAGCACAGCAACGGCACAUCACCAACACCAGAAGAAAUCUCUCUGUUAAAGUCCCUGCUACAACAUCUGAUUAAACUGCAAAAAAAA